UGCCUUCUCUAGUUAUUCAUGCAGGCAAAAGAAAUUUCCCAAGACGAACAGCUCAGUAACUCUUAUUUGAUUUGAUGUAUUAGGAUUCUAACUAUGUUAAAUUAUAGGUAACAAUAAUACAAUAAGAAUAAGAUCUAUCAGUUAGUUGUUAAGGUAAUGGCUUAACAAGACUAUGACGGAUAACGGUAUUACUUUGUAAUAUUCCGGAAGAAGGAGCCUGAGAGAUUGCUACUAAGUCUAAGGAUUGCAGCAGGGGCGAACUUGACCUAUGAUAUUAUAUUGAGGCAGUUAUGAGUAGUAUUUUAUAAUUAUUGUAGUAUUGUAAGUACAUAUUACAAGAUAAAUCGGAGGGCAAAUCGAGUGCCAGCAGCCGCGGUAAUACUUGUUCCGAUAGUGUGUAUGAUGAUUGGAUGCAGUUAAAAAGUCUGUAGUUUAUUUAUAAAAAAGCAUUGGAACGGAUACUGGUAUGGGUUAGGAAAAGAGAUGAAAUGGGAAUAACCCCUACAUGGGAGGAGCCUGUAUACUUAAAAUUUAUUAUUUAGAACUAAGGACGUAAGCUAAGAGGGUUCGAAGAUGAUUUAGAUACCCAUUGUAGUUCUAGCCAGUAAAACUUAUGUGAAUUCAUAGAUAUAUUUUGAUAUAAUAUUUAUGUAGAGAAAAUUAAGAUUAUAUUGACUCUGGGGAUAGUAUGAUCCCAAGAUUGAAAAUUAAAGAAAUUGACGGAAGAAUACCCCCAAGGAGUGGAUUGUGCGGCCUUAAUUUGACUCCAACCCCGGGGUAAUUUACCCAGGUAUAACCAUGGUAUAAUAUUUUAUCAUGAUAGUGGUGCAUGGCCGUUUCCCAAUGGAUGCUGUGAAGUAAUGAUUAAUUUCAACAAGAUGUGAGACCCUCAUUUAGACAGAUGUAGUGAUACAUAUGAAGGAGAGGAUUAAAACAGGUUCCGUUAUGCCCUAAGAUAAUCUGGGUUGCACGCGCAAUACAAUAAUAUUUGAUAUUAUAAGGGAUAAUAUAAUGUAAGAUAUAUUUGAACAUGGAAUUGCUAGUAAAUUUUAUUUAAUAAGUAGAAUUGAAUGAGUCCCUGUUCUUUGUACACACCGCCCGUCGCUAUCUAAGAUGGGGGAACUAUGAUCUUCUUUUAAAGAAUGAAAGACAGUCUGAU
RNAcentral lists this ribosomal RNA (1159 nucleotides) under Nosema sp. NIAP-7g. RNAcentral describes it as "bacterial SSU rRNA". It matches the Rfam family "Microsporidia small subunit ribosomal RNA". The record is from RNAcentral. Lineage: Eukaryota; Fungi; Microsporidia; Nosematidae.